RNAcentral lists this ribosomal RNA (460 nucleotides) under uncultured bacterium. RNAcentral describes it as "partial 16S ribosomal RNA". It matches the Rfam family "Bacterial small subunit ribosomal RNA", at positions 338 to 795 of the family's 1533-position model. The record is from RNAcentral.
CCUACGGGUGGCAGCAGUGCGGAAUAUUGGUCAAUGGGCGCGAGCCUGACCCAGCCAAGUCGCGUGAAUGAUGACUGCCCUACGGGUUGUAAACUUCUUUUAUAAAGGAAUACAGUGAGGCACGUGUUCCUUUUUGUAUGUACUUUAUGAAUAAGGAUCGGCUAACUCCGUGCCAUCAGCCGCGGUAAUACGGAGGAUCCGCGCGUUAUCCGGAUUUAUUGGGUUUAAAGGGAGCGUAUAUGGGUUGUUAAGUCAUUUGUGAAAGUUUGCGGCUCAACCGUAAAAUUGCAAUUGAUACUGGCAGCCGUGAGUACAGUUGAGGUAGGCGGAAUGCGUGGUGUAGCGGUGAAAUGCUUAGAUAUCACGAAGAACUCCGAUUGCGAAGGCAGCUUACUAAACUGCCACUGACAUUGAUGCUCGAAAGUGUGGGUAUCAAACAGGAUUAGAGACCCGAGUAGUC